This is a non-coding RNA of Schistosoma haematobium, 46 nucleotides long. NCBI's taxonomy places the organism in Eukaryota, Metazoa, Platyhelminthes, Trematoda, Strigeidida, Schistosomatidae. The record is from Rfam.
GUACUGGUGAGGAGUCCCACAAUCGGACGAAACGGCCGUCCAGUGC